UUAUAUCAAACCUUAAACAUUGAGGGUACUAUAGUUUCCUAUAUGACAUAGGAAUGUAAAAAUUCCGAAAGAAAAGACAAAGAUCACUUUUAGCUCACUAUUGAAACUAUUUACAUCCAAUAAACGCAAAAGCAUAUAAUUUAGAUAUUGUUUUUACAUAAUAUACUAUACAAAAAAAAAAUAAUAUUUUCCUAUGAUUUUAUGAGUCACACACUGUCAUUUUCCCCAAAAAAAUCCUAUAAUUAACUUAAUGAAGAGAAAAAAGAAGCAUCCUACUCAAAUCCAUCACAUACAUCAAUUAUAGCUACAAAAAGGAACAAAAGUUUGACAAGAAACAACUUUACCAUCAAGUAUUGCAACAGAGAAAUUUCACAAUCAUAUGAAGGUAGUUUCAAGAGAUGAGGGGAAGGUAGACGAAUAAUCAAUGGUCGCGAUGGAUAUAGCGGAUAUAGAGGUAGUGACGAGGAAGAUAAUAAUAAUAAUGGCGGUGUCAGAGACAGUAGCUUACGAACAUGAGGUAGAGGUGAUGGUAACGGUGAUGGCGGAGGUGGUGUAUUGGGUGGUAGGAACAACGAUGGAGACAAGCUAGUAGUAGGGUGAUUGCGAGCUGCUACAAAAAAUACGAGAUUUACUGCUAUUGAAAAUACUAGUUGAAGGCAAAAGCUGAC
RNAcentral lists this long non-coding RNA (668 nucleotides) under Nicotiana benthamiana. RNAcentral's name for it is "long non-coding RNA (NBEN_LNC002984)". Lineage: Eukaryota; Viridiplantae; Streptophyta; Magnoliopsida; Solanales; Solanaceae. The record is from RNAcentral.